RNAcentral lists this ribosomal RNA (253 nucleotides) under uncultured bacterium. RNAcentral describes it as "partial 16S ribosomal RNA". It matches the Rfam family "Bacterial small subunit ribosomal RNA", at positions 524 to 776 of the family's 1533-position model. The record is from RNAcentral.
UACGUAGGUGGCAAGCGUUGUCCGGAUUUAUUGGGUUUAAAGGGUGCGUAGGCGGUCUGAUAAGUCAGUUGUGAAAUACGGCAGCUUAACUGUCGAGGUGCAAUUGAUACUGUUGGACUUGAGUACUGAUGAGGUAGGCGGAAUGGACGGUGUAGCGGUGAAAUGCUUAGAGAUCGGCAGGAACACCCAGGGGGAAACCAGCCGACUGGGCAUCUACUGACGCUGAGGUGCGAGAGCGUGGGGAGCGAACCGG